UAAUACGGAGGGUGCAAGCGUUAAUCGGAAUUACUGGGCGUAAAGCGCACGCAGGCGGUUUGUUAAGUCAGAUGUGAAAUCCCCGGGCUCAACCUGGGAACUGCAUUUGAAACUGGCAAGCUAGAGUCUCGUAGAGGGGGGUAGAAUUCCAGGUGUAGCGGUGAAAUGCGUAGAGAUCUGGAGGAAUACCGGUGGCGAAGGCGGCCCCCUGGACGAAGACUGACGCUCAGGUGCGAAAGCGUGGGGAGCAAACAGGAUUAGAUACCCUGGUAGUCCACGCUGUAAACGAUGUCGAUUUGGAGGUUGUGCCCUUGAGGCGUGGCUUCCGCAGCUAACGCAUUAAGCUUCCCGCCUGGGGAGUACGGUCGCAAGAUUA
This 376-nucleotide ribosomal RNA is filed under the name uncultured Serratia sp. RNAcentral describes it as "bacterial SSU rRNA". It matches the Rfam family "Bacterial small subunit ribosomal RNA", at positions 521 to 896 of the family's 1533-position model. Lineage: Bacteria; Pseudomonadati; Pseudomonadota; Gammaproteobacteria; Enterobacterales; Yersiniaceae. The record is from RNAcentral.